UACGAAGGGUGCAAGCGUUAUUCGGAAUCAUUGGGCGUAUAGGGUGCGCAGGCGGCAUAUUAAGUCAACUGUUAAAUCCCCCGGCCUAACCGGGGAUCAGCAGUAGAUACUGGUGUGCUAGAGGAUGGAAGAGAGAAGUGGAAUUCUUGGAGUAGCGGUAAAAUGCGUAGAUCUCAAGAGGAACACCAAUGGCGAAGGCAGCUUCUUGGUCCAUUCCUGACGCUCAUGCACGAAAGCGUGGGGAGCAAACAGG
Molecule: ribosomal RNA, 253 nt
Filed under: uncultured prokaryote
Description: partial 16S ribosomal RNA
Rfam family: Bacterial small subunit ribosomal RNA
Source: RNAcentral